This 216-nucleotide long non-coding RNA is filed under the name Elaeis guineensis (African oil palm). RNAcentral's name for it is "long non-coding RNA (EGUI_LNC005132)". Lineage: Eukaryota; Viridiplantae; Streptophyta; Magnoliopsida; Arecales; Arecaceae. The record is from RNAcentral.
AGUGCGAAAGAGUCCCAGAAGACUUUAUUCCCCCGUUGACCAACAACUUGUGCCACAUACAAAACCAAAGGGGCUUUAUAUCGGUUUCUUAUCCAUAUGAGGUUACAUUGAUACCUAGAGCGAGAUUAUCUUUGGGUUCUCUUGAAAACUUCGACUUUUGAAUCAAAUUUUAAAGCUUGAUCCAUCCGCAAUCAUACAAAUAAAGGUACAUCCAAU